This 909-nucleotide ribosomal RNA is filed under the name Catalaphyllia jardinei. Its description in RNAcentral is "eukaryotic LSU rRNA". It matches the Rfam family "Eukaryotic large subunit ribosomal RNA", at positions 113 to 799 of the family's 3401-position model. Lineage: Eukaryota; Metazoa; Cnidaria; Anthozoa; Scleractinia; Caryophylliidae. The record is from RNAcentral.
AUUUGAAAUCUCCGAUGCCUGCAUCGGCGAGUUGUAGUUGCGAGAAGCACUUUCUAGGUGGACGGGCAGUGCCUAAGUUGCUUGGAACAGCACGUCGCAGAGGGUGACAACCCCGUCUGUGGCGCUGCCGGGCCGCUGACGAUGUGCUUUCGAAGAGUCGGGUUGUUUGGGAAUGCAGCCCAAAAGGGGUGGUAGACUCCAUCUAAAGCUAAAUACCGGCGUGAGACCGAUAGCGAACAAGUACCGUGAGGGAAAGAUGAAAAGAACUUUGAAAAGAGAGUUAAAGAGUACGUGAAACCGUCCAAAGGGAAACGAAUGCACUCAGCAAUGCGCCCUCUGAGAUUCAGCCGGUGGGUGGCGUCGGCGCAGGGUCUUUUUGCGGAUCCGAAUGGACCGCGGCCCGGCGCUCGCCGUCUCUCUCUCCCCGCCGUCGCACUUCUCUGGGGCGCGCGUCAAGGUGGGUUGGGACUGGGUCUAAAAGGUGCCGGGAAGGUAGGUCUGGGCCCCUUUUCCAAGGGCGUCCGUUCUGUUACAGCCCGGUUCUUGUCACGACUCGGGCCCGACCGAGGAGGCAGGGCAUGCCUAGUGUGGCUAGGGUCCCGCCCUUCCGGCCGGCUGCUCCAAUGCGGGGGACUGCUUGCAGUGCUCGGCGACGGCUGCCGGUCGUUGGGGUGGUGUUCUCGUACCAUGCCCUUGGGAUGUUGGCGAUCAUAUGGGUGCAUCCGACCCGUCUUGAAACACGGACCAAGGAGUCUAACAUGUGCGCGAGUCUUAGGGUGAGUCAAACCCCGAGGCGCAGUGAAAGUGAAGGCGGCUCCGGCCGCCGAGGUGAGAUCGCCGCGGGCGCUGUGCGCGGGCGGCGCGCAUCAUCGACCGACCUAUUCUACUCUUAGGAAGGUUUGAGUAAGA